GCUGGGCGUGGAGGCGCGCACCUGUGGUCCCAGCUACUUGGGAGGCUAAGGCAGGAGGAUUACUUGAACUCAGGAGGUCAGGGCUACAGUGAGCCGUGAUUGUGCCACUGUACUCCAGCCUAGGUGACAGAGUAAGACUCUGCCUAAA
This 148-nucleotide non-coding RNA is filed under the name Nomascus leucogenys (northern white-cheeked gibbon). Lineage: Eukaryota; Metazoa; Chordata; Mammalia; Primates; Hylobatidae. The record is from Rfam by way of RNAcentral.